This 2902-nucleotide ribosomal RNA is filed under the name Klebsiella pneumoniae. RNAcentral's name for it is "23S ribosomal RNA". It matches the Rfam family "Bacterial large subunit ribosomal RNA". RNAcentral also lists the same sequence under 3 other names. Lineage: Bacteria; Pseudomonadati; Pseudomonadota; Gammaproteobacteria; Enterobacterales; Enterobacteriaceae. The record is from RNAcentral.
GGUUAAGCGACUAAGCGUACACGGUGGAUGCCCUGGCAGUCAGAGGCGAUGAAGGACGUGCUAAUCUGCGAAAAGCGUCGGUAAGGUGAUAUGAACCGUUAUAACCGGCGAUGUCCGAAUGGGGAAACCCAGUGCAAUUCGUUGCACUAUCGUUAACUGAAUACAUAGGUUAACGAGGCGAACCGGGGGAACUGAAACAUCUAAGUACCCCGAGGAAAAGAAAUCAACCGAGAUUCCCCCAGUAGCGGCGAGCGAACGGGGAGCAGCCCAGAGUCUGAAUCAGCUUGUGUGUUAGUGGAACGGUCUGGAAAGUCCGACGGUACAGGGUGAUAGUCCCGUACACCAAAAUGCACAGGUUGUGAACUCGAAGAGUAGGGCGGGACACGUGGUAUCCUGUCUGAAUAUGGGGGGACCAUCCUCCAAGGCUAAAUACUCCUGACUGACCGAUAGUGAACCAGUACCGUGAGGGAAAGGCGAAAAGAACCCCGGCGAGGGGAGUGAAAAAGAACCUGAAACCGUGUACGUACAAGCAGUGGGAGCACCUUCGGGUGUGACUGCGUACCUUUUGUAUAAUGGGUCAGCGACUUAUAUUCUGUAGCAAGGUUAACCGUAUAGGGGAGCCGCAGGGAAACCGAGUCUUAACUGGGCGUUAAGUUGCAGGGUAUAGACCCGAAACCCGGUGAUCUAGCCAUGGGCAGGUUGAAGGUUGGGUAACACUAACUGGAGGACCGAACCGACUAAUGUUGAAAAAUUAGCGGAUGACUUGUGGCUGGGGGUGAAAGGCCAAUCAAACCGGGAGAUAGCUGGUUCUCCCCGAAAGCUAUUUAGGUAGCGCCUCGUGAAUUCAUCUUCGGGGGUAGAGCACUGUUUCGGCUAGGGGGUCAUCCCGACUUACCAACCCGAUGCAAACUACGAAUACCGAAGAAUGUUAUCACGGGAGACACACGGCGGGUGCUAACGUCCGUCGUGAAGAGGGAAACAACCCAGACCGCCAGCUAAGGUCCCAAAGUCAUGGUUAAGUGGGAAACGAUGUGGGAAGGCACAGACAGCCAGGAUGUUGGCUUAGAAGCAGCCAUCAUUUAAAGAAAGCGUAAUAGCUCACUGGUCGAGUCGGCCUGCGCGGAAGAUGUAACGGGGCUAAACCAUGCACCGAAGCUGCGGCAGCGACACUAUGUGUUGUUGGGUAGGGGAGCGUUCUGUAAGCCUGCGAAGGUGACCUGUGAGGGUUGCUGGAGGUAUCAGAAGUGCGAAUGCUGACAUAAGUAACGAUAAAGCGGGUGAAAAGCCCGCUCGCCGGAAGACCAAGGGUUCCUGUCCAACGUUAAUCGGGGCAGGGUGAGUCGACCCCUAAGGCGAGGCCGAAAGGCGUAGUCGAUGGGAAACAGGUUAAUAUUCCUGUACUUGGUGUUACUGCGAAGGGGGGACGGAGAAGGCUAUGUUAGCCGGGCGACGGUUGUCCCGGUUUAAGCAUGUAGGCUGGUUGUCCAGGCAAAUCCGGAUAAUCAAGGCUGAGGUGUGAUGACGAGGCACUACGGUGCUGAAGUAACAAAUGCCCUGCUUCCAGGAAAAGCCUCUAAGCAUCAGGUAACAUUAAAUCGUACCCCAAACCGACACAGGUGGUCAGGUAGAGAAUACCAAGGCGCUUGAGAGAACUCGGGUGAAGGAACUAGGCAAAAUGGUGCCGUAACUUCGGGAGAAGGCACGCUGGUGUGUAGGUGAAGUCCCUGCGGAUGGAGCUGAGACCAGUCGAAGAUACCAGCUGGCUGCAACUGUUUAUUAAAAACACAGCACUGUGCAAACACGAAAGUGGACGUAUACGGUGUGACGCCUGCCCGGUGCCGGAAGGUUAAUUGAUGGGGUUAUCCGUAAGGAGAAGCUCUUGAUCGAAGCCCCGGUAAACGGCGGCCGUAACUAUAACGGUCCUAAGGUAGCGAAAUUCCUUGUCGGGUAAGUUCCGACCUGCACGAAUGGCGUAAUGAUGGCCAGGCUGUCUCCACCCGAGACUCAGUGAAAUUGAACUCGCUGUGAAGAUGCAGUGUACCCGCGGCAAGACGGAAAGACCCCGUGAACCUUUACUAUAGCUUGACACUGAACAUUGAGCCUUGAUGUGUAGGAUAGGUGGGAGGCUUUGAAGCGUGGACGCCAGUCUGCGUGGAGCCAACCUUGAAAUACCACCCUUUAAUGUUUGAUGUUCUAACGUUGGCCCCUGACCGGGGUUGCGGACAGUGUCUGGUGGGUAGUUUGACUGGGGCGGUCUCCUCCCAAAGCGUAACGGAGGAGCACGAAGGUUAGCUAAUCCUGGUCGGACAUCAGGAGGUUAGUGCAAUGGCAUAAGCUAGCUUGACUGCGAGCGUGACGGCGCGAGCAGGUGCGAAAGCAGGUCAUAGUGAUCCGGUGGUUCUGAAUGGAAGGGCCAUCGCUCAACGGAUAAAAGGUACUCCGGGGAUAACAGGCUGAUACCGCCCAAGAGUUCAUAUCGACGGCGGUGUUUGGCACCUCGAUGUCGGCUCAUCACAUCCUGGGGCUGAAGUAGGUCCCAAGGGUAUGGCUGUUCGCCAUUUAAAGUGGUACGCGAGCUGGGUUUAGAACGUCGUGAGACAGUUCGGUCCCUAUCUGCCGUGGGCGCUGGAGAAUUGAGGGGGGCUGCUCCUAGUACGAGAGGACCGGAGUGGACGCAUCACUGGUGUUCGGGUUGUCAUGCCAAUGGCACUGCCCGGUAGCUAAAUGCGGAAGAGAUAAGUGCUGAAAGCAUCUAAGCACGAAACUUGCCCCGAGAUGAGUUCUCCCUGAGACUUUAAGUCUCCUGAAGGAACGUUAAAGACGAUGACGUUGAUAGGCCGGGUGUGUAAGCGCAGCGAUGCGUUGAGCUAACCGGUACUAAUGAACCGUGAGGCUUAACCUU